CCAAGUCUCACGUUACGAGCAUCACUGGCGAAAGAUGGAUGUUUACAGUUGAAGUGCUUCCAUGCUUCACCGUCAGAAGGAUGACGCAACACUCCUUCACUUUUGUUACCAUCAUGUCAUGUCAUGUGUUUUGCUGUUUGAAUUGAAGCAAACAUCCUUUGUAAUCUUGAAAUGAUCGGCAAAUAGAACAUGGACUUGAAUGGAAUUGGUUUUUUUUGCCUCCGUCCUGGAUGCAAUGUUUGAAAUCGAGGAUUGCCACAAAACUUGCAUUGCACCAACGAUGCAUCAUUUUUGCCAGUGUCGUUGUCAUAGAAAAGCAUACAUCCAUUCACACAACAAUCAAUCUUCUUCGCUUCCAAUCCCAACUUCGAAACACAUCUUUUGGCUUCGUAAUAAUUCUUCGGCAAAGAAUUGUUUGGUGGUGUUAGAUCUAACACCAAUUUUGUAAAGUGGUCCACC
This 459-nucleotide long non-coding RNA is filed under the name Vigna radiata. Its description in RNAcentral is "long non-coding RNA (VRAD_LNC000956)". The record is from RNAcentral. Lineage: Eukaryota; Viridiplantae; Streptophyta; Magnoliopsida; Fabales; Fabaceae.